Molecule: long non-coding RNA, 1067 nt
Organism: Stegodyphus dumicola
Lineage: Eukaryota; Metazoa; Arthropoda; Arachnida; Araneae; Eresidae
Source: RefSeq, a predicted model, not a curated record
AUUAAUUUCUUAUUACUUGGUGAUUAGACUUCCAGUUGACUACUGGAUUUAGGAUUUAGAAAUUAGCAGUAGUACUGCAGCCACGUAAUGAGAUUCUGAAGACGAUUAGGUUCCUUACCCACGCUUAAAAAAAAUAAUGUCCAGUCAUUGUCAUUCGUUCAUAGUACUAACGUUAGAUGGUUUUCAGCAUAAGGCUCCUAACAGUGUUUACAAGUACAUUUUGAAAGAACUAGGCUACGUUUCAUCUGACCUAAAGCACACAGGGUCCCUUGUAGUUGGUCCUCCUUUUAGUUGGGAUGAAUUAUCCCCGAAAGAUAAAAAAACAAACGAAUGGCUAACGCGCAUGCGACAUGGAAUACAUUGGAAUGAUGGAGAUAUUCCAUACGAUGACUUAAAAAACAUCUUGCAAAAUUUAACAAAAAAUUUUCAAUAUAUAUACGUAAAAGGUAGCGAAAAUGCAAAGGUUUUCUUAGAUAUAUUGGAAAGGGAAAUUCAUGAAAUAACAAUUAUAAACUAUACAAAUAGUGAUCUAUCACCACCUAUGAGCAAAUGCCCUUUUCAUAGUUGUAGUAAAAGGUAUUAUUUCUGUGCGGGAAAAAAAGCUGCAAAGUAUUGGACGAGUAUUUCCGCAGGAAAUUUCGUUGUCCAUAAAAUAUAUGCCCCUACUUCGGAAAGGGACAAAAAUAAUUACUGGGAGGACGAUACUACAGGGGACAACUCGUAUCCCGAUCUUUCAAAAUCUACUAACUAGGCGCACGGUACUGCAAGAAACAUAAUUCCUCCUCCUCGUCUACCUCAAGAAAAAUUCUACUGGAAUGAUACUGCGAGACACAUCGUACCUCCUCCUCAUCUACCUCAAGAAAAAUUCUACUGGAAUGAUACUGCGAGACACAUCAUACCUACUCCUCAACUUGACUCAAACUUCUAUUGGAAUGAUACUGCGAGACACACCAUACCGUCUCCUCAACCCGACUCCAAAUAUCUUGUCAACCAAUAUUUUCUUCAUUUUUAAUGUACUAUUUCAUUUUUUAUUAUGAAUAAAUACUGAAAGUAUUAUUUACCAGAUG